AGAAUCAACGCUGGCGGCGUGCCUAACACAUGCAAGUCGAACGAGAAAGUGGAGCAAUCCAUGAGUAAAGUGGCGCACGGGUGAGUAACACGUGACUAACCUACCCUCGAGUGGGGAAUAACUUCGGGAAACCGAGGCUAAUACCGCAUAAAACCUAAGGGUCAAAGGAGCAAUCCGUUUGAGGAGGGGGUCGCGGCAGAUUAGUUAGUUGGCGGGGUAAUGGCCCACCAAGACGAUGAUCUGUAUCCGGCCUGAGAGGGCGCACGGACACACUGGAACUGAAACACGGUCCAGACUCCUACGGGAGGCAGCAGUGGGGAAUUUUGCGCAAUGGGGGAAACCCUGACGCAGCAACGCCGCGUGGAGGAUGAAAUCCCUUGGGAUGUAAACUCCUUUCGAUCGGGAAGAUAAUGACGGUACCGGAAGAAGAAGCCCCGGCUAACUUCGUGCCAGUAGCCGC
This 460-nucleotide ribosomal RNA is filed under the name uncultured bacterium. Its description in RNAcentral is "SSU rRNA". It matches the Rfam family "Bacterial small subunit ribosomal RNA", at positions 26 to 518 of the family's 1533-position model. The record is from RNAcentral.